GAUGAACGCUGGCGGCGUGCCUAAUACAUGCAAGUCAAGCGAACAGAUGAGGAGCUUGCUCCUCUGACGUUAGCGGCGGACGGGUGAGUAACACGUGGAUAACCUACCUAUAAGACUGGGAUAACUUCGGGAAACCGGAGCUAAUACCGGAUAAUAUUUUGAACCGCAUGGUUCAAUAGUGAAAGACGGUCUUGCUGUCACUUAUAGAUGGAUCCGCGCCGCAUUAGCUAGUUGGUAAGGUAACGGCUUACCAAGGCAACGAUGCGUAGCCGACCUGAGAGGGUGAUCGGCCACACUGGAACUGAGACACGGUCCAGACUCCUACGGGAGGCAGCAGUAGGGAAUCUUCCGCAAUGGGCGAAAGCCUGACGGAGCAACGCCGCGUGAGUGAUGAAGGUCUUCGGAUCGUAAAACUCUGUUAUUAGGGAAGAACAAAUGUGUAAGUAACUAUGCACGUCUUGACGGUACCUAAUCAGAAAGCCACGGCUAACUACGUG
This 497-nucleotide ribosomal RNA is filed under the name uncultured bacterium. RNAcentral describes it as "partial 16S ribosomal RNA". It matches the Rfam family "Bacterial small subunit ribosomal RNA", at positions 28 to 507 of the family's 1533-position model. The record is from RNAcentral.